AUGGGGGAUUGGGGGGGUGGGGGGAGGCGGCGGGGGCAGGUUGGCUGGCAGGUGAGUGGGUUUACAAAGAGAAACCAUGAAAAGUUUCUCACAAAUCAUUUCAAUCUGUCACCUAUUCUAGCUAAGCUUUUUUUUUUCUUUUUCUUCCAGACGGCUCCAAGAGCUACACAAAGUCUGGCUUAUCACUGUUUGAUAAGGAUCCGGUCCAGUCAAGCCGUGCCAAAGCCAUACUCUUUCAUUUGUUCUCUGUCACACCCUCCACCACUCGUCUAACAAGGACACCUGAAGUCAAUCAAGACCAGCAAGAC
Molecule: long non-coding RNA, 308 nt
Filed under: Scleropages formosus (Asian bonytongue)
Lineage: Eukaryota; Metazoa; Chordata; Actinopteri; Osteoglossiformes; Osteoglossidae
Description: lncRNA (ENSSFOG00015027193.1)
Source: RNAcentral